RNAcentral lists this ribosomal RNA (253 nucleotides) under uncultured bacterium. RNAcentral describes it as "partial 16S ribosomal RNA". It matches the Rfam family "Bacterial small subunit ribosomal RNA", at positions 524 to 776 of the family's 1533-position model. The record is from RNAcentral.
UACAGAGGUCUCAAGCGUUGUUCGGAUUCAUUGGGCGUAAAGGGUGCGUAGGCGUCGCGGUAAGUCGGGUGUGAAAUCUCGGAGCUUAACUCCGAAACUGCAUUCGAUACUGCCGUGCUUGAGGACUGGAGAGGAGACUGGAAUUUACGGUGUAGCGGUGAAAUGCGUAGAUAUCGUAAGGAAGACCAGUGGCGAAGGCGGGUCUCUGGACAGUUCCUGACGCUGAGGCACGAAAGCGUGGGGAGCGAACAGG